UAAGGGCGCACGGUGGAUGCCUUGGCACUAGAAGCCGAUGAAGGACGUUACUAACGACGAUAUGCUUUGGGGAGCUGUAAGUAAGCUUUGAUCCAGAGAUUUCCGAAUGGGGAAACCCAGCAUGAGUUAUGUCAUGUUAUCGAUAUGUGAAUACAUAGCAUAUCAGAAGGCACACCCGGAGAACUGAAACAUCUUAGUACCCGGAGGAAGAGAAAGAAAAUUCG
RNAcentral lists this ribosomal RNA (224 nucleotides) under Staphylococcus aureus. Its description in RNAcentral is "partial 23S ribosomal RNA". It matches the Rfam family "Bacterial large subunit ribosomal RNA", at positions 12 to 233 of the family's 2925-position model. The record is from RNAcentral. Lineage: Bacteria; Bacillati; Bacillota; Bacilli; Caryophanales; Staphylococcaceae.